AAAAUUACCUGGCAGGGGAGAUACCAUGAUCACAAAGGUGGUUUUCUGAAGGUGAGGCUCAUCCAUUGCACUCUGGAUGUGCUGACCCCUGUGAUUUCCCCAAAUGUGGGAAAUUCAACGCAUGAUUUGUGGUAGUGAGGGACUGUGUUCGCGCUUUUCCUUG
Cebus imitator (Panamanian white-faced capuchin) is the source of this 163-nucleotide small nuclear RNA. Its record names the gene U1. It matches the Rfam family "U1 spliceosomal RNA". Rfam says of the family: U1 is a small nuclear RNA (snRNA) component of the spliceosome (involved in pre-mRNA splicing). Its 5' end forms complementary base pairs with the 5' splice junction, thus defining the 5' donor site of an intron. There are significant differences in sequence and secondary structure between metazoan and yeast U1 snRNAs, the latter being much longer (568 nucleotides as compared to 164 nucleotides in human). The record is from Ensembl. Lineage: Eukaryota; Metazoa; Chordata; Mammalia; Primates; Cebidae.